GCUAACUACACGCUGCUAGGAACUUUCUUCGCGUCGGCGCCUUGCUGCUGAGCCGCCGCUUCCGUGCGGUGGGUUUUGCCUGGCGCACCGGGAGGCGGGGCCUGUGAGACAAGAUGGAGUUGCUGCAGGUCUUGAAGCGCGGGGUGCAGCAGAUCACUGGCCACGGUGGCCUCCUUGGCUAUCUACGAGUUUUCUUCAGGACAAAUGAUGUGAGGGUUGGCACAUUAGUGGGAGAAGACAAAUAUGGCAACAAAUACUAUGAAGACAACAAGCAAUUUUUUGGCCGUCACCGAUGGGUCAUGUACACCACCAAAAUGAACGGCAAGAACACUUUCUGGGAUGUGGACGGGAGCAUGGUGCCGCCCGAGUGCUGCAUAAAAUUCCACCUGAGCAGAUCCCGUAACCUGUUGUGAGUGAUGCCGCCGUAAGCUAGGUCUGCAGCCAUCUCUUUAGAGCGGCUUCCCGUCCUUCAGGCACCGCUGGCUUCACAGUAUGACCGAUGACCCUCCAACAACCAAACCUCCUACUGAGCGGAAAUUCAUUUGGAAGAACCAUAAAUUCAAUGUGAGUGGCACUCCAGAGCAGUACGUGCCGUACUCCACCACUAGGAAGAAGAUUCAGGAGUGGGUGCCCCCCUCCACGCCGUACAAGUGAGGACAGGGGGAAGCAGAGGGACAUGUGGAAACCGUCUCCCAGGAACUUGAUUAAACUUUGUUUGACCAA
RNA transcript from Cavia porcellus (domestic guinea pig), 723 nucleotides. It is a transcript of the gene named NADH:ubiquinone oxidoreductase subunit A12, with no coding region annotated. The transcript has 5 exons. NCBI's taxonomy places the organism in Eukaryota, Metazoa, Chordata, Mammalia, Rodentia, Caviidae. The record is from RefSeq and is a predicted model, not a curated record.